This 249-nucleotide long non-coding RNA is filed under the name Lathyrus oleraceus (garden pea). Its description in RNAcentral is "Pisum sativum (pea) long non-coding RNA (PSAT_LNC012262)". Lineage: Eukaryota; Viridiplantae; Streptophyta; Magnoliopsida; Fabales; Fabaceae. The record is from RNAcentral.
GUGCUUUUGGUUAGUAAACAAAAUAAUAAAAGAAAUAAUGUACAAUUCAAGCAUGCUUGGUGGUCUCAAACACUCACGCAAGUCCCAACCCAAGGGUUAAGGAGCCAUACAUGUUAUGAUCCUUGAGGCCAUGUAUAGAGUAAUGAUAUGAUGCCAUGAGGGAUCUUAGGGUCAAAAUCAGGGUCUUACAGAUACCAUGCAUCUCUUCAUAAGCUUUUUCACCUCAUACUUCAGCGGAUAACAAUUGUC